GACGAACGCUGGCGGCGUGCUUAACACAUGCAAGUCGAACGGAAAGGCCCUGCUUUUGUGGGGUGCUCGAGUGGCGAACGGGUGAGUAACACGUGAGUAACCUGCCCUUGACUUUGGGAUAACUUCAGGAAACUGGGGCUAAUACCGGAUAGGAGCUCCUGCUGCAUGGUGGGGGUUGGAAAGUUUCGGCGGUUGGGGAUGGACUCGCGGCUUAUCAGCUUGUUGGUGGGGUAGUGGCUUACCAAGGCUUUGACGGGUAGCCGGACUGAGAGGGUGACCGGCCACAUUGGGACUGAGAUACGGCCCAGACUCCUACGGGAGGCAGAAGUGGGGAAUAUUGCACAAUGGGCGGAAGCCUGAUGCAGCAACGCCGCGUGCGGGAUGACGGCCUUCGGGUUGUAAACCGCUUUCGCCUGUGACGAAGCGUGAGUGACGGUAAUGGGUAAAGAAGCACCGGCUAACUACGUG
Molecule: ribosomal RNA, 468 nt
Filed under: uncultured bacterium
Lineage: Bacteria
Description: partial 16S ribosomal RNA
Rfam family: Bacterial small subunit ribosomal RNA
Source: RNAcentral